Molecule: long non-coding RNA, 476 nt
Filed under: Durio zibethinus
Lineage: Eukaryota; Viridiplantae; Streptophyta; Magnoliopsida; Malvales; Malvaceae
Description: long non-coding RNA (DZIB_LNC001159)
Source: RNAcentral
AUUACAAAGAAGAAAUAAAAAAAGGUGUGAACAAAAAGAUUUAAGAAAAAAAUAACAAAUGAAAAUAUAAAAUAUAUAAAAAAAAAUAUUUGAGAAAAAAAAUGGGAAAAAGAAGAAAAAAAUAAAAAAUGAAGAGGCAAAAAUAAGAAAUAAAACAAAAAGAAAAAAAAUACAAAAAUUGAAUAAAAAUUUCAAAAAUGAAAUGGAAUGACAAAAUGAAAAAAAAUUAGUUUAAAAAAUUAAAAAAAAAUUGAAAAACAUAUAAGUCCUAACAAUAUAAAAAUUCAGACAAAAAAUUGAAAAAGAAAAAAGUUAAUGCAAAAUAAAAAAAAGUAUGAGAAUUUAAAAAUGCAAAUAAGAAACGAAAGGAAAUUUGUGGAAAAAAAAAAGAGAAGCAAGAAAAGACAAAAGAUUUGGAAUAAAAAAUAGAAAAAUAAAAAUUUUUAAAACAACGAAAAAAUGAAAGCAUAUGAAAA